ACCAUCCAAGGUCCCUUUCCUUCACGUUCCGAGGCCGGACGGAGGGAUGAGGCAGGGGAGGCCCGGGCAGCGCCGUUGCUGCUCCCCUCGCCGUCCGAAGCCAUGGAAACAGGGAAGGAGGACGGCGCCCGCAGAGGUACACAAAGCCCCGAGCGGAAAAGGCGAAGCCCAGUGCCGCGGGCGCCCAGCUCGAAGCUGAGGCCGGCGGCUGCGGCCCAGGCCAUGGAUCCCGUGGCGGGCGAGGCCCCGGGCGAGGCCUUCCUGGAACAACGACGGCCGGAGGGCGGCGGCGGGUCGGCGCGGCCUCGCUAUAGCCUGUUGGCCGAAAUCGGGCGCGGCAGCUACGGCGUGGUUUACGAGGCUGUGGCCGGACGCAGCGGGGCCCGGGUGGCGGUCAAGAAGAUCCGCUGCGAUGCCCCGGAGAACGUGGAACUGGCCCUGGCUGAAUUCUGGGCCCUGACCAGCCUCAAGAGACGCCACCAGAACGUCGUGCAGUUUGAGGAGUGCGUCCUGCAACGCAAUGGGCUAGCCCAGCGCAUGAGUCACGGCAACAAGAGCUCCCAGCUGUACCUGCGUCUGGUGGAGACCUCCCUCAAAGGAGAAAGGAUCCUGGGCUAUGCUGAGGAGCCCUGCUAUCUCUGGUUUGUCAUGGAGUUCUGUGAAGGUGGAGAUCUCAAUCAGUAUGUCCUGUCCCGGAGGCCAGACCCAGCCACCAACAAAAGUUUCAUGCUACAGCUCACGAGUGCCAUUGCCUUCCUGCACAAAAACCACAUCGUGCACAGGGACCUAAAGCCAGACAACAUCCUCAUCACUGAACGGUCUGGCACCCCCAUCCUCAAGGUGGCAGACUUUGGACUGAGUAAGGUCUGUGCUGGGCUGGCACAUCGAGGCAAAGAGGGCAAUCAAGACAACAAAAAUGUGAAUGUGAACAAAUACUGGCUGUCCUCAGCCUGCGGCUCAGACUUCUACAUGGCUCCUGAAGUCUGGGAAGGACACUACACAGCUAAGGCGGACAUCUUUGCUCUGGGCAUUAUCAUCUGGGCAAUGAUAGAAAGAAUCACUUUCAUUGACUCUGAGACCAAGAAGGAGCUCCUGGGGACCUACAUUAAACAGGGGUCUGAGAUCGUCCCUGUUGGUGAGGCGCUGCUAGAAAACCCAAAGAUGGAGUUGCAUAUUCCCCAGAAACGUAGGACUUCCAUGUCUGAGGGGAUCAAGCAGCUCUUGAAAGAUAUGUUGGCUGCUAACCCACAGGACCGGCCUGAUGCCUUUGAACUUGAAACCAGAAUGGACCAGGUCACAUGUGCUGCUUAAAUUCAGGCCUGACCAUCUUGGGUGUUUUUAAAAGUCGAUCCCUCGGGACCCACAGUCUCAUCAUGCCUCGGACAGGACAGCAGAGCGUACAGGUGGUGGCUUGACUGGUGACCUCCUAACAGCUUCGACCUCCGGCAAUGUGAAGCUUUUGUUUGGGAUUCCCCUCCUUUUGGUUGCGUUUUGUUUUUUGUUGUUGUUAUUUUUUUCCUGUCCUUUUUCUUUCUUUUUAAUUUAAGUCAUCGAGACUUCAGAAGAACAGAAAGUUAUGCUGUGGACAGGCAUCAUUUAAAGAAAUUCAAUGUGGACAAAGCAUGUGUAAAUUUUACUGUUCAUUUCUGUAAAAGGUUAGGGAGCGAUUUGAGUUGUGUCAUUUUCCUUCUGAUUUCUCUGUGCGUCUCAAGUUCUGCUUGUAGCAUCUCACUCCCUGGAGAAGAUCCAUCUCCCCAGAGAGUGUUUGGGGAUUCUCUUGGAAUAGAACAUGAAGACAUAGGAGUUUUCUGGGCCACCUUCCUCCCAGACAUAGGACAGCUGGACUCCUUGGUGGGCUGGUACUGGCCAGCCCUUGGACCUCACACAGGAGCAGAGGUGAAGAGCUGCCUGGAUGAGGAAGGCCAGGGCUUGGCCAGGAGGACUCCAGAAAGGAGCAUAGCCUGCAGUCCUCUUCCCUCAAGAGUACCUCCAGCCUCUCCUUCCUUCCAGGGUGCUGCUGGCUCUUGUUCUAGGUAAAUCUCCUGGUUAGUCCUCUCUUUGACUUGCUCUUCCCCUCGCCACCCCCAAAUCUGUCUGGUUAGCUGGCCCACACUUAGCUGCUGGGAGUCGGGAGGUGCAGCAACCUCCAAACAGGGACACUUCGUUAUUCAUCUCUCUAGGCCAGCAGAUUUGGGAGGCUGAGGCCCAGAGAUAACUAACUGCCUCAGACCCUGACCCCACCCCGGCUUUGAGGUCAGGGACUCCUGUCUGGAGAAUGCUCUUGGCAGGAAGUGGGGCGGGGGUGCCGGAUCCACAGCCCCCACUUAGGGAUGACCCCACUGCCCUCAGUUGCCUGAGGCCCUCCUCCCCCAGGGCUGCACAGGGUACCUGAAGUUGUAUGCCCCUUC
Dipodomys ordii (Ord's kangaroo rat) is the source of this 2408-nucleotide RNA transcript. It is a transcript of the gene named serine/threonine kinase 35, with no coding region annotated. The transcript is spliced from 4 exons. The record is from RefSeq and is a predicted model, not a curated record. NCBI's taxonomy places the organism in Eukaryota, Metazoa, Chordata, Mammalia, Rodentia, Heteromyidae.